This 427-nucleotide ribosomal RNA is filed under the name uncultured bacterium. RNAcentral describes it as "bacterial SSU rRNA". It matches the Rfam family "Bacterial small subunit ribosomal RNA", at positions 355 to 774 of the family's 1533-position model. The record is from RNAcentral.
UGGGGAAUUUUGGACAAUGGGCGCAAGCCUGAUCCAGCCAUGCCGCGUGCGGGAAGAAGGCCUUCGGGUUGUAAACCGCUUUUGUCAGGGAAGAAACGCUCCGGGCUAAUACCCUGGAGUAAUGACGGUACCUGAAGAAUAAGCACCGGCUAACUACGUGCCAGCAGCCGCGGUAAUACGUAGGGUGCAAGCGUUAAUCGGAAUUACUGGGCGUAAAGCGUGCGCAGGCGGCUUUGCAAGACAGAUGUGAAAUCCCCGGGCUUAACCUGGGAACUGCAUUUGUGACUGCAUGGCUAGAGUGCGGCAGAGGGGGAUGGAAUUCCGCGUGUAGCAGUGAAAUGCGUAGAUAUGCGGAGGAACACCGAUGGCGAAGGCAAUCCCCUGGGCCUGCACUGACGCUCAUGCACGAAAGCGUGGGGAGCAAACA